This 346-nucleotide ribosomal RNA is filed under the name Staphylococcus sp. Its description in RNAcentral is "bacterial SSU rRNA". It matches the Rfam family "Bacterial small subunit ribosomal RNA", at positions 106 to 446 of the family's 1533-position model. Lineage: Bacteria; Bacillati; Bacillota; Bacilli; Caryophanales; Staphylococcaceae. The record is from RNAcentral.
GUGAGUAACACGUGGAUAACCUACCUAUAAGACUGGGAUAACUUCGGGAAACCGGAGCUAAUACCGGAUAACAUAUUGAACCGCAUGGUUCAAUAGUGAAAGGCGGCUUUGCUGUCACUUAUAGAUGGAUCCGCGCNNNAUUAGCUAGUUGGUAAGGUAACGGCUUACCAAGGCAACGAUACGUAGCCGACCUGAGAGGGUGAUCGGCCACACUGGAACUGAGACACGGUCCAGACUCCUACGGGAGGCAGCAGUAGGGAAUCUUCCGCAAUGGGCGAAAGCCUGACGGAGCAACGCCGCGUGAGUGAUGAAGGUCUUCGGAUCUUAAAACUCUGUUANCAGGGAA